Molecule: long non-coding RNA, 947 nt
Organism: Panthera uncia (snow leopard)
Lineage: Eukaryota; Metazoa; Chordata; Mammalia; Carnivora; Felidae
Exons: 6
Source: RefSeq, a predicted model, not a curated record
CUCCACGCUCUGACGUCAGCACGCCGCCGACGCCCCGGCCCCGCCCCCGCCCUACGGCCGAGCCCCGCCCAGGAACGGACCCGAGCGGCCGGGCGCGGGCGGAGGUGGGGGACUUGGAGAGAAAGUGUCGCCUAGAGUAACUUCGAGCUUCGUUUUGUCGUUUGCAUGAGUCCUUACUCGCGAUUAGGUGCUCAGUAAACAAUUGAAGGAGAAAAAGAAGAAAACACGGAAGGAGUGAAGAGAGAAACCUCAAGGACAUAGAGACAAGAAGCAAACAGCGCUUCCUUGGGUCUGGAGUCUCUCUGAUCUAUUCUGCCUUUACCCUGCUGAGGACAGAUCACCUUGAGCAAAGUGCAGCAGGACUGGUUCGAUAACUCGAGUCUUUAAAAGGAAGUUCUGAAGACCAAUUGUUGAAGAUGGUCAUACCACAAGGUGCGUGAAGCCUGGAUACAUAAAUGACUGUGUGGAUCAGGGCUCCCUGUCUACCAUAUUGGACUACAAGAACUGAACAGCUCAGGCUCGUCUGCUCUCAGGCCCGAAGACACGCCGCCCCUGGUGAAGGCUGAUAAACGUGUUGAGUGAGCGAACGUUGAAUCACAGCGACUGUUCCUGUACCGUUACGUAAGUGAAGCCCCUAUUCAGUGCGUUUCAGAAUACGCGUAGUGAGGAUUAGGUUUGUUUAAGUUCCCAUCUUCUGCAGAGCAGUACUUUCGUACGUUACAAUAAAAAAUGAAUUACUAGAGGGGCGCCUGGGUGGCUCAGUCGGUUAAGCGUCCGACUUCAGCUCAGGUCACCAUCUCGCGGUCCGUGAGUUCGAGCCCCGCGUCGGGCUCUGGGCUGAUGGCUCGGAGCCUGGAGCCUGCUUCCGAUUCUGUGUCUCCCUCUCUCUCUGUCCCUCCCCCCUUCAUGCUCUGUCUCUCUCUGUCUCAAAAAUAAAUAAACAUUAA